Long non-coding RNA from Triticum aestivum (bread wheat), 3751 nucleotides. RefSeq lists it as uncharacterized. The transcript has 2 exons. The record is from RefSeq and is a predicted model, not a curated record. Lineage: Eukaryota; Viridiplantae; Streptophyta; Magnoliopsida; Poales; Poaceae.
GGUCAAAACCCUAGCCGCCAGCAGUUCUCGUCAAGCCCGCGCCCCCUCUGCCUCGUCUGCUCCCUGCUCCCUCCUCUCCCACGACGCCGCCCUCGAGCCCACGCCGCCUCCACCUCGUCUCAUCCCCGCUCCCUCCUCUACAACGCCGCCGCCCUCGAUGCGCCAUAAGGGACGCUAUUGACACGUCGGGGAUACGCAGCGACGAAGCUCAGCCGGAGCACAUCAGUAACCCACUCCUAACCCUAUUCGCUCGAUUGAUAAGAGAAGGGCAACGGAUUGGAUCGAGGGCGCCCUGGCCUCGCCGCCGCUGCACCUGGAUUCGGUAGCCGCUGCUUGGAGUCGCCCUGGCCACCACGUCGAGUCACCUCCGUCGCCGCCGCGAGUCAGCUCCACCGUUGCCGCCAGGAAUCCCUUCCCGACAAGGUAGCUUCCUCUAAAUCCCUGCUCUCCAUGGUCCUACUGCCCUGCUUGAUGCAUGUGUGCUGUGUGUGUGGCUUCUAACUUGAGAGGGUCUCCGCCGGCGUCGGCCUGCACCGGCGAUGCCGGGCGCGACCUGGCUACCAGGGCAGCUUGACUACAGUCUAUAGAGCAAUAAACAAUGGGAGAAUUUGGGGGCUGCUCAGUUCUGGAUAUGGGGGCUGCACGGGCUUGGAGCAGCAAGCCAUGGCAACGAAUGUGAAUAAAACACAUACUUGUACUGUAAAUAAGGUUUUUUCAUAGUGAAACUGACAAAGCUUAUGCAUGAGAUAGCGCAUCAUUGUAUUUUGUGAUUCAGUUUCGUAGCACAGGGUAAAUGCUCCUCUUGACCUAUUCUAUUUUCGAAUAAGGUUGCGCCAGAUUUUAUUCAAAUGAACAUUGUAAAGUCUGUACUGUCAUGUUCUAGAUAUGUCGAAAUUUCAGACCAAACAAGUUUCCUACUUCUCCCCUUCAUGAUCUCUUCAUUUUUUCUUAAUAUCAUUUAGCUUGCCAUUUGUAUUUUUGUGAUUGGUAGAUAAAAGCUUGCACAGUUGCACUUGGCAUUUAUAUUACUAUAUAUUCAGCUAAUCGUACAAGAACCAUCUUUGUAACAGAUCCAGGUUUUGAUCUGUCUCCCUAUACUUAAGGCCUAUGUUGUAAGGUUCAGUGGUCAAUUGGACUUUUAAUUUCCUAGCUGUAGCUCUAAAUAAGGUUUCCUUUGUUAUGUAGUAUAUCCAUAUUAUAAUUAGAGGAGAGGAGUUGUACUGCCUUGCACAUAAUGCAUUUUAAUUCCUUAUUUCUCACAUCCCGAAAGUCGCAUUACAUCUAUGAACCAUAAGAACUAGAGGUAUCAAACUCCCAAGAGGAAAUAUUCGCCUCCCUUCCGAUCUUCAGAUCUCCAUAUUUGGUGAAUGCGGUGUUUUGGUUUCGUUGGAUUACUAUCUCUAUUUGGGGUUUAGAUAUGAAUUGAUGUUUUAGUUCGAGCGUGGAUACUCGGCAGUGGUGAUUUAGAUAUUUUUGUAGAACAGAAUAGUUAACUCGGUCUAUUUCUGGAGAACUGCAGUGUAGAUGAUAUAUGUAUGAGCGAUCGUAACACUGAAAAUGCAAAAUUUACAGUAUGGUGUAAUGAUGGUCGGUGGGGUGACUUUUUUGAUGGCAUUGCCCAAUGCAGUUUUUGGAUUUCUACUGAGUGGUACUGUGUUUUGAGAUUUGUUUUUUUGUGUUGCUAUCUGCAGGAAAGUUCCUAGGGAUUUGAUUGAUGGAGGCAUCACUAUUUGGAGCUGGAUUAUCCAUUUUUGCAGCAUCAGCAAUGUUGUUUUCGUUUGGAAUGGCCAUUUCUCAAUUUCUAAAUCGGCUAUACUAUACUUCUUGUCAGGUUACAUUAUCUUGCUUGGUUUCAGUCUAUAUGUAGCACAGCAAUAGGUGACAUGGUUGGUUUGUAUGUUACACUAAGGAACACCACCAUAAGGAAAAGGGCAUUGCACUUUGUUUAUAUUUGGUCUGUUCCUAUUCAGUUUGCUGUAGUACUUGCUACACCAUUUGAAGUUUCUUACUGUUUGCUUCUUGCUGUUUCAUUGUAUUCAGUUAUGAUAUAUUUUUCAACUAUACAAGCACUUGGGUAAGUCAGGAAAACUGAACCAACGACAAACAUUUUACUGGUGAUGUUUUUUAUCUGAGAUGUGAAAGAUGCAUCUUGUCCCCUGAUAUAUUGGCUUAAUCUCUUGAUUUUUUCCCUGACAUGCUAAUAUAGAGCCAGAUAUGCAUGAUUCAUCAUACACAUUACAGCCAAUUAUCCAUUGGUUCUUUUAUCCAUAGAGGUGAUUUUGUUUGGACCAUUAGUCUAGGUAGUGACAUUUUGAUCGAUAAGGCACAAGUUUAUUUUCUUUUUCACUCAGGCUACACUAAAGUAAGCAUCACCGUCAGUGAACAGAAGGCAUACAAAUCAUGAAGUUUUUGCCUUGGCUAUGUGCCUUGUUUAGUUGUCACUUAUUUAUUUCUGGGAAGUUAUUAAAUUCUCAUCGAGCUUUCCUUAUGCUUUCCAUUGCUAAAUAAGAAAUUUAAAUACGCAAUAUUUUUAAUAUCUGAGGAGGCAAGAGGAGAUGAAAAAGGGUUGUAACCUGUAAGGUUGUACUUUGGUGCGUCUCUGGGCAAUGAUGGCUGGAUCCAUCUGACGCUCUUCCAAGCAGAGUAGUGCAGAUUUGCUGACUGGUACAACAUCUAAACCUUGGCUACUCUAGCUUCUUUUCACAUCUCUUAGUAUCAACAAAUAAGUUCGUUAUAGUAUAUACUUGAAGAUUGCAGCAGGCACAAAAUGCUUGGCUAACCAGCCGGUUACUUGAGUUGUGCCUACGAAGGAUCAGUAGAGUAGUUGGUUUUUUCUAAAAUAAAUGAGGAUUAGUUUGGUUGCCAUGUAACGGUAAGGCCAGAAUGGUGGUACUGAGAAGUGGUUCUGUAAUGGUCAUAUGAGUUGUGGAGUUGGAACUUGAUUCUUUUUAAGUUGGAGUGGCUAGGUUGUCUAUAUGUAUUGCAUUAUUUUUCUACGACAUGCUGUUCUUUCUAAUGAUUUAUUUUAAAGUUUAGUAUUUAAAUUUACGGCAUUAUUCUGCGGCAUACUGUUCUUUCUACAACAUACUGUUAAUAUCUUAUGCUUUUCAACAUUACACGGUUAAAACCUUCUGUAUAAGAUCUUGCGCUUUCAACAUCUGCUCAUGGUGCUGUGCGUAUUCUGCUAUGAACUGUUUACAUUAUAGAGAGUUGUGGUACCUACAUUUGUACAAUUCCGUUUAGCUGAUGUUGGUUGCUCAUACUGACAAAAGGUGCGUUAACAAAUGAUCGCAGAGCAGCGGAGAAACGUGUUUCUACAAAUGUGCCAAAACUGAUGGAUUUAACUACAGGUAUUGCACUAUUAUUCUACAGGUAUUAUUGUAUUUCAUUAUCCAACUGUAAGUCUGUUCUAAACUCUAAGCCUGAUGUAAAUCUGAUGGAAGAUUGGGCCAUUUAAUUGGAACCAAAAGGGUGAUAUGCUCUCAGUUGCUUGAAUCUGUCCAGACCUGAAAAUUAGAUAUACUUUGAAAGCUUGAUGUAUGAGUAGGAGAUAGUUGAUAAAGGUGUACUCUUGUAGGAUAUUAUUAGUUGAUUACCUGCUUCUAUGUGGUGAACAAAUGAGUAAGCAGUUUUAGUUGAUAAAGGUGUAGGCAACAGACCAUUUUUGCUCCAUUUUUUGGUUUGUAAGUCAAGGAUGUUUAGCCUUUCCUGAAUAUGUUAAUUGUGAAACAGUUUUGAUGCAAUUUUUGAA